CCUUACCUUUAUCUUUACACUAGCUUCUGUAGGCAAAGCUCACCUCUCCAGUUUAGUGUCUCUACAGAUGUCUAUAUAUUGCAAGUUGCACAAAUCACAUGUGUAAGCUUUUGUGCGAAGACCCUUUGAGGAGAUCCUUUGAUCUUCAAAUGUAAUGUUUCUCACAUGGUAUCCAGUUCGUGCCUCAUGCUGUUGUGUCAUUUUAGCAAUGUACUGUGGCCCACAGGGAUAGCUCAAGAGAUAAAUGAUUUGACUGGAG
This is a non-coding RNA of Pelobates cultripes (western spadefoot toad), 259 nucleotides long. Lineage: Eukaryota; Metazoa; Chordata; Amphibia; Anura; Pelobatidae. The record is from the annotation of a GenBank genome assembly.